This 253-nucleotide ribosomal RNA is filed under the name uncultured bacterium. RNAcentral describes it as "partial 16S ribosomal RNA". It matches the Rfam family "Bacterial small subunit ribosomal RNA", at positions 524 to 776 of the family's 1533-position model. The record is from RNAcentral.
UACGAAGGGGGCGAGCGUUGUUCGGAGUUACUGGGCGUAAAGGGCGCGUAGGCGGCGAUCCAAGUUAGGCGUGAAAGCCCCGGGCUUAACCUGGGAAUUGCGCUUAAGACUGGACUGCUUGAGUGCGGGAGAGGUGAGUGGAACUGCGAGUGUAGAGGUGAAAUUCGUAGAUAUUCGCAAGAACACCAGUGGCGAAGGCGGCUCACUGGCCCGAUACUGACGCUGAGGCACGAAAGCGUGGGGAGCAAACAGG